AAUGAACGCUGGCGGCAUGCCUAACACAUGCAAGUCGAACGAACCCUUCGGGUCUUGUGUCGUCCGGGUGCGUAACCCGUCGGAACCUGACCUUAUGUUCGGACUAACUCCCCGAAAGGGGUACUAAUACCGGAUAAUGUCUUCUGACCGAUGAUUUAUCGACUUUGGUUGGACCGUAGUUGGAUUAGCUUGUUCGUACGGUUAAAGGCUACGAAGGCGCCGAUCCAUAACUGGUCUGAGAGAAUGAUCACCGACACUGGGACUGAGACACGGCCCAGACUCCUACGGGAGGCAGGAAUGGGUGAUAGUGCAAAGUGGGGGAAAGGAUGAACGUGCUAGGACGCGUGAGUGAUGAAAGUCUGAAGGUUGAAAAGCGCUUGUAACCAGGAUGAUAAUGACAGUACCGGGUGAAUAAGCCACGGCUAACUCCGUG
RNAcentral lists this ribosomal RNA (433 nucleotides) under uncultured bacterium. Its description in RNAcentral is "partial 16S ribosomal RNA". It matches the Rfam family "Bacterial small subunit ribosomal RNA", at positions 29 to 507 of the family's 1533-position model. The record is from RNAcentral.